GGAAGUGUGGCAGAAAGGUAAUGCAGCGGCUUGCUAAGCCGUCGUCGUGGCGCUCCCGCGGCUUGGGGGUUCGAAUCCCUCCACUUCCG
RNAcentral lists this transfer RNA (89 nucleotides) under Mycolicibacterium fortuitum. RNAcentral describes it as "tRNA-Ser". It matches the Rfam family "tRNA". From Rfam's summary of the family: Transfer RNA (tRNA) molecules are approximately 80 nucleotides in length. Their secondary structure includes four short double-helical elements and three loops (D, anti-codon, and T loops). Lineage: Bacteria; Bacillati; Actinomycetota; Actinomycetes; Mycobacteriales; Mycobacteriaceae. The record is from RNAcentral.